GCCCGCGUGGCGGAAUUGGUAUACGCAGCAGGUUGAGGGCCUGUGCCCGAAAGGGCGUGGGGGUUCGAGUCCCUCCGCGGGCACCA
RNAcentral lists this transfer RNA (86 nucleotides) under Ardenticatena maritima. Its description in RNAcentral is "tRNA-Leu". It matches the Rfam family "tRNA". From Rfam's summary of the family: Transfer RNA (tRNA) molecules are approximately 80 nucleotides in length. Their secondary structure includes four short double-helical elements and three loops (D, anti-codon, and T loops). RNAcentral also lists the same sequence under 1 other name. Lineage: Bacteria; Bacillati; Chloroflexota; Ardenticatenia; Ardenticatenales; Ardenticatenaceae. The record is from RNAcentral.